This 513-nucleotide ribosomal RNA is filed under the name uncultured bacterium. Its description in RNAcentral is "partial 16S ribosomal RNA". It matches the Rfam family "Bacterial small subunit ribosomal RNA", at positions 28 to 523 of the family's 1533-position model. The record is from RNAcentral. RNAcentral also lists the same sequence under 1 other name.
GAUGAACGCUGGCGGCGUGCCUAAUACAUGCAAGUCGAGCGAACAGACGAGGAGCUUGCUCCUCUGACGUUAGCGGCGGACGGGUGAGUAACACGUGGAUAACCUACCUAUAAGACUGGGAUAACUUCGGGAAACCGGAGCUAAUACCGGAUAAUAUAUUGAACCGCAUGGUUCAAUAGUGAAAGACGGUUUUGCUGUCACUUAUAGAUGGAUCCGCGCCGCAUUAGCUAGUUGGUAAGGUAACGGCUUACCAAGGCAACGAUGCGUAGCCGACCUGAGAGGGUGAUCGGCCACACUGGAACUGAGACACGGUCCAGACUCCUACGGGAGGCAGCAGUAGGGAAUCUUCCGCAAUGGGCGAAAGCCUGACGGAGCAACGCCGCGUGAGUGAUGAAGGUCUUCGGAUCGUAAAACUCUGUUAUUAGGGAAGAACAAAUGUGUAAGUAACUAUGCACGUCUUGACGGUACCUAAUCAGAAAGCCACGGCUAACUACGUGCCAGCCGCCGCGGUAA